Molecule: ribosomal RNA, 200 nt
Filed under: uncultured bacterium
Lineage: Bacteria
Description: partial 16S ribosomal RNA
Rfam family: Bacterial small subunit ribosomal RNA
Source: RNAcentral
AUUGAACGCUGGCGGCAGGCCUAACACAUGCAAGUCGAACGAUGAAGCCCAGCUUGCUGGGUGGAUUAGUGGCGAACGGGUGAGUAACACGUGAGCAACCUGCCCCUGACUCUGGGAUAAGCGCUGGAAACGGUGUCUAAUACUGGAUAUGUCCCAUCACCGCAUGGUGUGUGGGUGGAAAGGUUUUUCGGUUGGGGAUG